Camelus ferus (Wild Bactrian camel) is the source of this 72-nucleotide transfer RNA. It matches the Rfam family "tRNA". From Rfam's summary of the family: Transfer RNA (tRNA) molecules are approximately 80 nucleotides in length. Their secondary structure includes four short double-helical elements and three loops (D, anti-codon, and T loops). Lineage: Eukaryota; Metazoa; Chordata; Mammalia; Artiodactyla; Camelidae. The record is from Rfam.
AAGGGUAUAGUUCAGUGGUAGAGGGUGUGCCUGGCAUGCACGAGGUCCUGGGUUCAAUCCCCAGUACCUUCA